CCUACGGGUGGCUGCAGUGGGGAAUAUUGCGCAAUGGGCGAAAGCCUGACGCAGCGACGCCGCGUGAGGGAUGAAGGUCCUCGGAUCGUAAACCUCUGUCAGCAGGGAAGAACGGUCACUGUGCUAAUCAGCAGUGAAUUGACGGUACCUGCAAAGGAAGCACCGGCUAAAUCCGUGCCAGCAGCAGCGGUAAUACGGAGGGUGGGAGCGUUAAUCGGAUUUACUGGGCGUAAAGGGCUCGUAGGCGGUAUGUCAAGUCAAGGGUGAAAUCCCCGCGCUCAACGUGGGAACUGCCUUUGAAACUGGCAGACUGGAGAGUGUGAGAGGAUAGUGGAAUUCCAGGUGUAGGAGUGAAAUCCGUAGAUAUCUGGAGGAACAUCAGUGGCGAAGGCGACUAUCUGGCACAUAACUGACGCUGAGGAGCGAAAGCGUGGGUAGCAAACAGGAUUAGAUACCCCUGUAGUC
This 465-nucleotide ribosomal RNA is filed under the name uncultured bacterium. Its description in RNAcentral is "partial 16S ribosomal RNA". It matches the Rfam family "Bacterial small subunit ribosomal RNA", at positions 338 to 795 of the family's 1533-position model. The record is from RNAcentral.